Long non-coding RNA from Octodon degus (degu), 190 nucleotides. RefSeq lists it as uncharacterized. Lineage: Eukaryota; Metazoa; Chordata; Mammalia; Rodentia; Octodontidae. The record is from RefSeq and is a predicted model, not a curated record. The transcript is spliced from 3 exons.
UAUUUAGCUUUAUUCAUAACCAUAAACUUAACUCUGCAAUUCAGGUACAUUUGGAGGGGAGCAAGGAAAGCAUGGAACCCAAAGAACUGCAAGAAGAGCAGAGAUGAUGGGGUGUUUUGAGCAGGGAGGGUGCUGGGUGCUCUCCUGAGCUAGAGGAAUGGUCUGGUCUGGUGUGGUCUGGUCUGGUGGU